Molecule: ribosomal RNA, 442 nt
Filed under: Thereva microcephala
Lineage: Eukaryota; Metazoa; Arthropoda; Insecta; Diptera; Therevidae
Description: partial 16S ribosomal RNA
Rfam family: Bacterial large subunit ribosomal RNA
Source: RNAcentral
AAAUGGCCGCAGUAUUUUAACUGUGCAAAGGUAGCAUAAUCAUUAGUCUUUUAAUUGAAGGCUGGUAUGAAUGGUUGGACGAGAUAUUAACUGUUUCAUAAAAAUUGAAUUAGAAUUUUAUUUUUUAGUUAAAAAGCUAAAAUUUUUUUAAAAGACGAGAAGACCCUAUAGAUCUUUAUAAUUUGUAUAUUAUAGUUAUUUAGAUUAUUUAAGUUAUGAUUAUAUAAAAUAUUUUGUUGGGGUGACAUUAAAAUUUAAUUAACUUUUAAUUACUAUUUACAUUAAUUUAUGAAUUUUUGAUCCAUUAAUAAUGAUUAAAAAAUUAAGUUACCUUAGGGAUAACAGCGUAAUUUUUUUGAAGAGUUCAUAUCGAUAAAAAAGAUUGCGACCUCGAUGUUGGAUUAAGAUAUAAUUUUGGGUGCAGCAAUUCAAUUAUUAAGUC